RNAcentral lists this ribosomal RNA (434 nucleotides) under uncultured bacterium. RNAcentral describes it as "bacterial SSU rRNA". It matches the Rfam family "Bacterial small subunit ribosomal RNA", at positions 958 to 1392 of the family's 1533-position model. The record is from RNAcentral.
AACGCGAAGAACCUUACCCACCUUUGACAUGUACGGAAUUCGCCAGAGAUGGCUUAGUGCUCGAAAGAGAACCGUAACACAGGUGCUGCAUGGCUGUCGUCAGCUCGUGUCGUGAGAUGUUGGGUUAAGUCCCGCAACGAGCGCAACCCUUGUCAUUAGUUGCUACAUUCAGUUGGGCACUCUAAUGAGACUGCCGGUGACAAACCGGAGGAAGGUGGGGAUGACGUCAAGUCCUCAUGGCCCUUAUAGGUGGGGCUACACACGUCAUACAAUGGCUGGUACAAAGGGUUGCCAACCCGCGAGGGGGAGCUAAUCCCAUAAAACCAGUCGUAGUCCGGAUCGCAGUCUGCAACUCGACUGCGUGAAGUCGGAAUCGCUAGUAAUCGUGGAUCAGAAUGUCACGGUGAAUACGUUCCCGGGCCUUGUACACACCG